UGUAGUGGUGUUUCGAGUAAUCAAGGGAGGCGAAACAAGAUGAAAAUGGAGGAAACCUAUGGAGUGUUGUGCUUUGGAGAAGAUAAAGAUGAAUGGGUCUAGGUUUUAGGCAAAUCCAACAAUACCUUCUGUACUCCAUGGCCAAUCUUCACACCUUUUGCACCCCAUGGCCAAUCUUCGCACCUUUUGCACCCCAUGGCCAAUCUUCACACAUUCUUUAUUUCUUUUGUAGGGUUGGUUUAUGGACAAACGGACCAAGAUGCAAUGCGGGGGUGAACCAGAAUAUUCAGUUUGCAUUUCCAAAGCGGGGACGAGCCAACCCAACCCACUUUUCAAGAGUCAACUAGAGAAAGGACCUAAAUUGAAGAUGCAUGAAGAAGCAAGUCAACUUUAACACAUUCCUCUCUGUCCUGCCUAAUUUCCUUCAUCAUUGCUACAACAUCUUUCAUGGUUGGUCUGUCAUCUGGGCUUGAGUUCACACACAGCAAAGCCACUCCU
This is a long non-coding RNA of Vigna angularis (adzuki bean), 498 nucleotides long. RefSeq lists it as uncharacterized. The transcript is spliced from 3 exons. Lineage: Eukaryota; Viridiplantae; Streptophyta; Magnoliopsida; Fabales; Fabaceae. The record is from RefSeq and is a predicted model, not a curated record.